CACCAAAGAUGGAUUAUGCAUUCAAUAACAGAACUAAAGAUAUUGUUGAGCCGUUAAUCCAACAAAGGAAUCAUCAAAAUGAUAAUGACUUUUCACCUAUAUCAGAAGUUCCUUUGCAGAUUAAAGACUCACCCAUGAGACAAGUUAGUUGUGUAGUCCCAA
Camelina sativa (false flax) is the source of this 162-nucleotide non-coding RNA. The record is from RefSeq and is a predicted model, not a curated record. NCBI's taxonomy places the organism in Eukaryota, Viridiplantae, Streptophyta, Magnoliopsida, Brassicales, Brassicaceae.